GCUGCAAAGGUUCGAUUGGGAUACUCAUCAAAUUAGAACUGAAUAUCCGAGAAUGCUUGCCCUGCUCAAUGGCGUGCCGAUACGUUCCCGUAGGGAAUGGGGUCGGAUUACAAAGACUUGGCGGCGCUCAAAUCCUAUUAUUCCCGGAGUUUCAUCACAUCACUGAUGCAGCCUUC
This 176-nucleotide small RNA is filed under the name bovine gut metagenome. RNAcentral's name for it is "Bacteroidales-1 6S-Bacteroidales RNA suggested". It matches the Rfam family "Bacteroidales-1 6S-Bacteroidales RNA suggested". The record is from RNAcentral.